RNAcentral lists this long non-coding RNA (774 nucleotides) under Marmota monax (woodchuck). Lineage: Eukaryota; Metazoa; Chordata; Mammalia; Rodentia; Sciuridae. The record is from RNAcentral.
GGGCCCUGCCCUCCUGGCCGCUGAGGAAACUGGUGCUUGUAUUUGGUUUAUAUUUGAACUAUUCCUUUGCCCUCAGCAGGAUUAAACCUUUACCCCCUUGCAAUCUCUGGGUCCCUUCAAAUCCUUCAGCGUGUUCAACGACGACCUGCUACAGGAUUUCCAGUCCCAAGAAUUGGGAGUCUUGUCUGCCCCUCCCAUCAACCCCACCUGCACAAGGAAGCUUCAUUUGCUUUGGAUCACAAAGGCGGCCUCAGGACUCCUCUUUCCCUGAAAUGAAGCUCUUCUUCUAGAACCUUCAUCUUGGAUCCUGGAGCCAUCAUCCAGUGAGUCACAUGGGACCGGAAAUUCUGGAUCUCUUAGCCCCUCUCAACUUCUCUGUCAACAAAUAUUUAUUGGACAUCUUCAAAGAGGCCCCACACCCUGUUCAUGGUACAUCACAAAACAAAUCCCUACCCUCACAGGGCUUGCUGUCAGCUACCAUGGUGUGGACUCUCCUUCUGAGCAUCUGUCCCCUCCUGCCUGCUGUUACCAUCAUCCUCGGUCCUCCCUGUCACCUGGAAUUCUCUGCUCAGAAGCCAGCGUGAUCUUACAAACCCAGUUCAACCCUUGUUGACACUUGGCCAAAAAAUCUCAAAUAAAGACAUUUUAAAAUGUGGAGUAAAAAAAUAAUGUUAUAAAUUAUAACAGACAGCUUUAAAAAAACUGCACUGAAGCAAUGUUAUUCUUGGAUAUAUGUAUGUGGCAAAAAUAUAAAAACAUGAGCUGGAAAAAAAC